UCCGGCUUGACGCCGGCAGUCCCCCGAGAGUCCUCAGCUUUACCUGUUAGUAACACGGGGCAAGGGUUGCGCUCGUUGCGGGACUUAACCCAACAUCUCACGACACGAGCUGACGACAGCCAUGCACCACCUGUGCACUGGCCCCGAAAGGCUGCCGUAUUUCUACGACAUUCCAGUGCAUGUCAAGCCCUGGUAAGGUUCUUCGCGUUGCGUCGAAUUAAACCACAUGCUCCACCGCUUGUGCGGGCCCCCGUCAAUUCCUUUGAGUUUCAGCCUUGCGGCCGUAGUCCCCAGGCGGGGUACUUAAUGCGUUAGCUUCGGCACGGGGGGGGUCGAUACCCCCUACACCUAGUACCCAUCGUUUACAGCGUGGACUAC
This 378-nucleotide unclassified non-coding RNA is filed under the name uncultured bacterium. Its description in RNAcentral is "contains 16S-23S intergenic spacer region". The record is from RNAcentral.